RNAcentral lists this ribosomal RNA (440 nucleotides) under uncultured bacterium. RNAcentral's name for it is "partial 16S ribosomal RNA". It matches the Rfam family "Bacterial small subunit ribosomal RNA", at positions 338 to 795 of the family's 1533-position model. The record is from RNAcentral.
CCUACGGGAGGCAGCAGUGGGGAAUAUUGCACAAUGGGGGAAACCCUGAUGCAGCGACGCCGCGUGAGUGAAGAAGUACUUCGUUAUGUAAAGCUCUAUCAGCAGGGAAGAAAAUGACGGUACGUGAGUAAGAAGCCCCGGCUAACUACGUGCCAGCAGCCGCGGUAAUACGUAGGGGGCAAGCGUUAUCCGGAUUUACUGGGUGUAAAGGGAGCGUAGACGGCAUUGCAAGUCUGGAGUGAAAGGCGGGGGCUCAACCCCCGGACUGCUCUGGAAACUGUACGGCUGGAGUGCAGGAGAGGUAAGUGGAAUUCCUAGUGUAGCGGUGAAAUGCGUAGAUAUUAGGAGGAACACCAGUGGCGAAGGCGGCUUACUGGACUGUAACUGACGUUGAGGCUCGAAAGCGUGGGGAGCAAACAGGAUUAGAUACCCGAGUAGUC